This is a transfer RNA of 72 nucleotides. It matches the Rfam family "tRNA". Rfam says of the family: Transfer RNA (tRNA) molecules are approximately 80 nucleotides in length. Their secondary structure includes four short double-helical elements and three loops (D, anti-codon, and T loops).
GCCCUCGUAGUUCAACGGACAGAACACGGGAUUGCGGAUCCCGCGAUAGAGGUUCGACUCCUCUCGAGGGCG